Molecule: ribosomal RNA, 432 nt
Filed under: uncultured bacterium
Lineage: Bacteria
Description: partial 16S ribosomal RNA
Rfam family: Bacterial small subunit ribosomal RNA
Source: RNAcentral
AGUGAACGCUGGCGGCAGGCCUAACACAUGCAAGUCGAACGGACCCUUCGGGGUUAGUGGCGGACGGGUGAGUAACACGUGGGAACGUGCCUUUAGGUUCGGAAUAGCUCCUGGAAACGGGUGGUAAUGCCGAAUGUGCCCUUCGGGGGAAAGAUUUAUCGCCUUUAGAGCGGCCCGCGUCUGAUUAGCUAGUUGGUGAGGUAACGGCUCACCAAGGCGACGAUCAGUAGCUGGUCUGAGAGGAUGACCAGCCACACUGGGACUGAGACACGGCCCAGACUCCUACGGGAGGCAGCAGUGGGGAAGCUGGCGCAAUGGGCGAAAGCCUGACGCAGCCAUGCCGCGUGAAUGAUGAAGGUCUUAGGAUUGUAAAAUUCUUUCACCGGGGACGAUAAUGACGGUACCCGGAGAAGAAGCCCCGGCUAACUUCGU